UACAGAGGGUGCGAGCGUUGUCCGGAAUCACUGGGCGUAAAGGGCGCGUAGGCGGCCUGGUAAGCGUGCGGUGAAAGCCCGGGGCUCAACCCCGGGUCGGCCGUGCGAACUGCGAGGCUGGAGCACUGUAGAGGCAGGUGGAAUUCCGGGUGUAGCGGUGGAAUGCGUAGAGAUCCGGAAGAACACCGGUGGCGAAGGCGGCCUGCUGGGCAGUGGCUGACGCUGAGGCGCGACAGCGUGGGGAGGCAAACAGG
Molecule: ribosomal RNA, 254 nt
Filed under: uncultured bacterium
Lineage: Bacteria
Description: partial 16S ribosomal RNA
Rfam family: Bacterial small subunit ribosomal RNA
Source: RNAcentral